This 206-nucleotide long non-coding RNA is filed under the name Panax ginseng (ginseng). RNAcentral's name for it is "long non-coding RNA (PGIN_LNC017885)". Lineage: Eukaryota; Viridiplantae; Streptophyta; Magnoliopsida; Apiales; Araliaceae. The record is from RNAcentral.
UCCCACAACAAAACACCAAAUGGCCAACUCCCACCGGAGCACAAAACAGAGACGCCGUGGACUGAUCACACUGCCACGGAAGGUGUCAUGCCUCGGUGCCAAGAGGACAUGCAUGUGGUACCCCCACAGGUGGUUAUAGCUCAGGUAUACCCUACGGUAUUCUAACAAGGAUACCAUGUCACAACACAUGCGACAUAAUAUCAACA